RNAcentral lists this ribosomal RNA (1445 nucleotides) under Limosilactobacillus fermentum. Its description in RNAcentral is "bacterial SSU rRNA". It matches the Rfam family "Bacterial small subunit ribosomal RNA". Lineage: Bacteria; Bacillati; Bacillota; Bacilli; Lactobacillales; Lactobacillaceae. The record is from RNAcentral.
UGCAGUCGAACGCGUUGGCCCAAUUGAUUGAUGGUGCUUGCACCUGAUUGAUUUUGGUCGCCAACGAGUGGCGGACGGGUGAGUAACACGUAGGUAACCUGCCCAGAAGCGGGGGACAACAUUUGGAAACAGAUGCUAAUACCGCAUAACAGCGUUGUUCGCAUGAACAACGCUUAAAAGAUGGCUUCUCGCUAUCACUUCUGGAUGGACCUGCGGUGCAUUAGCUUGUUGGUGGGGUAAUGGCCUACCAAGGCGAUGAUGCAUAGCCGAGUUGAGAGACUGAUCGGCCACAAUGGGACUGAGACACGGCCCAUACUCCUACGGGAGGCAGCAGUAGGGAAUCUUCCACAAUGGGCGCAAGCCUGAUGGAGCAACACCGCGUGAGUGAAGAAGGGUUUCGGCUCGUAAAGCUCUGUUGUUAAAGAAGAACACGUAUGAGAGUAACUGUUCAUACGUUGACGGUAUUUAACCAGAAAGUCACGGCUAACUACGUGCCAGCAGCCGCGGUAAUACGUAGGUGGCAAGCGUUAUCCGGAUUUAUUGGGCGUAAAGAGAGUGCAGGCGGUUUUCUAAGUCUGAUGUGAAAGCCUUCGGCUUAACCGGAGAAGUGCAUCGGAAACUGGAUAACUUGAGUGCAGAAGAGGGUAGUGGAACUCCAUGUGUAGCGGUGGAAUGCGUAGAUAUAUGGAAGAACACCAGUGGCGAAGGCGGCUACCUGGUCUGCAACUGACGCUGAGACUCGAAAGCAUGGGUAGCGAACAGGAUUAGAUACCCUGGUAGUCCAUGCCGUAAACGAUGAGUGCUAGGUGUUGGAGGGUUUCCGCCCUUCAGUGCCGGAGCUAACGCAUUAAGCACUCCGCCUGGGGAGUACGACCGCAAGGUUGAAACUCAAAGGAAUUGACGGGGGCCCGCACAAGCGGUGGAGCAUGUGGUUUAAUUCGAAGCUACGCGAAGAACCUUACCAGGUCUUGACAUCUUGCGCCAACCCUAGAGAUAGGGCGUUUCCUUCGGGAACGCAAUGACAGGUGGUGCAUGGUCGUCGUCAGCUCGUGUCGUGAGAUGUUGGGUUAAGUCCCGCAACGAGCGCAACCCUUGUUACUAGUUGCCAGCAUUAAGUUGGGCACUCUAGUGAGACUGCCGGUGACAAACCGGAGGAAGGUGGGGACGACGUCAGAUCAUCAUGCCCCUUAUGACCUGGGCUACACACGUGCUACAAUGGACGGUACAACGAGUCGCGAACUCGCGAGGGCAAGCAAAUCUCUUAAAACCGUUCUCAGUUCGGACUGCAGGCUGCAACUCGCCUGCACGAAGUCGGAAUCGCUAGUAAUCGCGGAUCAGCAUGCCGCGGUGAAUACGUUCCCGGGCCUUGUACACACCGCCCGUCACACCAUGAGAGUUUGUAACACCCAAAGUCGGUGGGGUAACCUUUUAGGAGCCAGCCGCCU